RNAcentral lists this non-coding RNA (23 nucleotides) under Arabidopsis thaliana (thale cress). Lineage: Eukaryota; Viridiplantae; Streptophyta; Magnoliopsida; Brassicales; Brassicaceae. The record is from RNAcentral.
GGCGUCGAACCGUCAAGUCUAUG